Myxocyprinus asiaticus (Chinese sucker) is the source of this 13150-nucleotide RNA transcript. It is a transcript of the gene named myosin IXAb, with no coding region annotated. The record is from RefSeq and is a predicted model, not a curated record. The transcript is spliced from 45 exons. Lineage: Eukaryota; Metazoa; Chordata; Actinopteri; Cypriniformes; Catostomidae.
GCUGCCAAACGUUUCACACACACACUCAUGCAGACACACACACUUGCAUUAGCAUCUGGACCGAGUGUUUAGAGGUGGGUUGGCAGUCUGGAGCAACAGCAGAAGGGGACAUUCACAGUCAGACUGCAGUGGACUAAACGAUCAAAUCUGUAUAUGAGAUAAACAUGCAUGUCCUUUAAUGUUACGGUCAGUUUUGUCCUUUGUUUCCCAAAUGGACAUGGAUGCAACUGACCACAGCGUUUCCAGAAGGCUCUGAUGUUCUGCAAGGACAAGGCGGGUUCGUUUUGGGUUCUUCACCUUAUAUGGAUCAAACAGAGACGUCCAGGAUCUGCUCCGGGUGACAGCCAGAGCGAGCUCACUGUGGCAUUUGUGUGUUUGCGUCUCUCUCGAGCUGUGGAAUGUCAGUCUGGAAGCCGGCGCAGAUUCCCAGAGGCGAGUUUUGAGACUUGAGGCGUGACGGGCCGUCAGAACCACUGACCCUGAGAGAGCCCGGUGUCGAUCGGCUGCAAUGGGACAACUGAGACGGUGGAGUCUUUUUGUUUUUCCUGAUAAUCAUCCUCACAGCAGAGGAGACUCUGAGCUUGGCUUUCCUCUGAAAUCCGUCACACUUUGAGUCCCUCUUGAGAGGUUUUUGCGAGUCCUGUUCUUGUCCAUGCCUGUCAUUACCCUACAGGUCAAAGGGUGGAAUGUCGUGAGACCAUCCUGUGAGUCUUGCAUUGGCGCUGCGUCUCGUGCUGAUGGGAGCUGCUGCACCAUCAUGAGUUGCCAUGACGCUGGAGGGCGUCGUCGUUUCGAGGACUCGGAGUUCACCUUGCGCGUGUACCCCGGCGCGCUGUCAGAGGGCACCAUCUACUGCCCCAUCACUGCUCGAAAGGUCACCUCGGCCGCUGAGGUCAUCGAGCAGGUCAUCGCAAGGCUGCAGUUGGAUCGUGCAAGGUUGUACGUGCUCGCAGAGGUGAAGGAAUUCGGCGGGGAAGAAUGGAUACUGAACCCGGGAGACUCUCCGGUACAGCGCAUGAUGCUGUGGCCGCGUAUGGCGCUGGAAAACCGGCUAGGUGGCGAAGACUACCGCUUCCUUUUGCGAGAAAAGAACGUGGAUGGAUCGAUCCACUACGGAAGUCUGCAGAUGUGGUUGCGAGUUACGGAGGAGAGGCGACGGAUGAUCGAACGUGGUCUACUCCCGCAGCCUCCCGCCGGACAACACGUUGCCGAUCUUUGCGCACUCCCGGACUUGAACGAGCUAACUUUGCUCGAGAAUCUUCGUGGACGUUUUCGGCAAGAGAAAAUCUAUACGUACGUUGGCGGGAUUCUAAUAGUCGUCAAUCCGUUCAAGUUCCUGCCCAUUUACAAUCCCAAAUACGUGAAAAUGUACGAUAAUCACCAGCUGGGGAAGUUGGAGCCGCAUAUUUAUGCGGUGGCAGACGUGGCGUACCACACCAUGCUCCAGAGGGAGAGGAACCAGUGCAUUGUGAUAUCUGGAGAGAGCGGAUCAGGAAAGACCCAGAGCACCAACUUUCUGAUUCAUCACCUGACGGCGCUCAGCCAGAAGGGCUUCGCUAGCGGCGUAGAGCAGAUCAUACUUGGAGCAGGACCUGUACUGGAGGCUUUUGGAAAUGCCAAAACUGCCCAUAAUAACAAUUCCAGCCGCUUCGGCAAGUUCAUCCAAGUCAACUACCAGAAGAGUGGAACUGUGAGAGGAGCUUAUGUGGAGAAAUAUCUUUUGGAAAAAUCUCGACUGGUUUAUCAAGAGCACAAUGAAAGGAACUAUCAUGUGUUUUAUUAUCUGUUGGCUGGAGCGAGUGAAGAAGAGAAAAAAUCAUUCCACCUGCUCAAACCAGAGGAGUAUCAUUACCUGAAUCAGAUAACAAAGACAGUCUACAGACAGUCUCAGCACUGGGGAAAUUACUAUGAAACUGAGCUGGACUGUUUCAAGGUUGAAGGGGAAGAUUUGAAGCAUGACUUCGAGCGGCUCCAGUUGGCGAUGGAGAUGGUGGGAUUCCUUCCUGCCACGAGAAAACAAAUCUUCACAUUACUGUCUGCUAUUCUUCACCUGGGGAACAUUCGCUACAAAAAGAAAACGUACAGAGACGACUCCAUCAAUAUCUGUAACCCAGAGGUGCUUCCGAUCGUUUCUGAACUGCUGGAGGUUAAAGAGGAAAUGCUUUUUGAAGCUCUGACCACACGGAAGACGGUAACCGUGGGAGAGAGAUUGAUCGUGCCGUACAAACUAGCUGAGGCAGGGACAGUAAGGGACUCAAUGGCGAAGUCUCUGUACGGAGCUCUCUUCGACUGGAUCGUCUUCCGCACAAAUCACGCGCUGCUGUACAACAAAGACCUGGAGGAUUCUGCCAAGAUCCUCUCUAUCGGUGUGCUGGAUAUCUUCGGUUUUGAGGAUUAUGAGAACAACAGUUUUGAGCAGUUCUGCAUCAACUUUGCCAAUGAAACGCUUCAGCAUUAUUUCAACCAGCACAUCUUUAAACUAGAGCAGGAGGAGUAUCGAUCAGAGGGCAUCAGCUGGCACAUGAUCGAUUAUAUCGAUAACACGGCUUGUAUCAACCUGAUCAGCAAAAAACCCACAGCACUGCUCCACCUGCUGGACGAAGAGUGCAAUUUUCCUCAGGCGUCGAAUCAAACUCUGCUGGACAAGUUUAAGCGACAGCACGAAGGAAACAGCUACAUUGAGUUUCCUGCCGUCAUGGAGCCGGCGUUCAUCAUACGACACUACGCUGGGAAGGUGAAAUAUGGCGUCAAGGACUUCAGGGAGAAGAACACGGAUCACAUGCGUCCGGAUAUCGUGGCGCUGUUGAAAAGCAGUCGCAAUGCGUUUAUUUGCAGUCUGAUGGGAAUCGAUCCCGUCGCCACGUUCCGCUGGGCUGCGAUCCGGGCGUAUUUCAGAGCCGUCGUGGCAUUCCGAGAGGCGGGGAAAAGAUACAAGGAGAAAAAGACGGACACCGAUUCUCCGGUUCAGAAUCAGAAAAGUGUGGACAGCUUCAGUUUCCUGCAUCACCCUGUUCACCAGCGGAGCCUUGAGAUCCUUCAGCGAUGCAAAGACGACAAAUACAAUUCGUGUAUCAGCCGGAAAAAUCCACGCACUCCACUGUCAGAUCUUCAGGGUACCAACACGAUCAGUGAGAAACUAAACAGGGAUGGAUUCUUGGGCUGUAAUGUUCGUAGCUCGAGAUCGGAGCAUGUCUCCUCUUUCUCCCAUGAAGAGGAGGGAAUUUUCGUAAACAGCAUCAGUAACAAACUUCUAGGGAGAGCUCAAGGCAUCCUGAUGCGAAACAAGAACUUCAAGACGAAACUCAGUCUCCCGAAGCAUCUGUUAGACGUGAAAUCGUUGAAAUAUCUGAGCAGUUUGACACUUCACGAUCGCAUCACCAAAUCACUGCUGCAUCUACACAAGAAGAAGAAGCCGCCCAGUAUCAGCGCCCAGUUCAACGCGUCUCUUAACAAACUGAUGGAGACACUGGGACAGUCAGAGCCAUACUUUGUGAAAUGCAUUCGGUCUAAUGCAGAAAAGCUUCCGCUGCGUUUCAAUGACGCGCUCGUAUUGCGACAGCUGCGCUACACUGGCAUGCUGGAGACCGUUAGAAUACGACAGUCUGGAUACAGUGUGAAAUACACUUUUCAGGAAUUUGCACAUCAUUUUCACGUGCUGUUACCAGCUGUAUUCUGUCCCACUCAAGCGGGCAUCAGAGACUUUCUGCAGACUGCCAACCUCGAGCCAAACGGGUAUCAAGUGGGCAGGACUAUGGUGUUUUUGCGGGAGCUUCUACGUCAGAGGCUGCAGGAUGAACUUCAUCGGGAGGUUUUGAGGAGAAUCGUUUGUUUACAGCAGAAGUUCAGAGCUCAGCAGGAGAGAAAACACUUCUGCAGCCAGAAGCGAGCCGCACGGAUCAUACAGCGUUGGUGGCGUGCUUGUAUGCUAACUAAUGCUGACGAGAGCGCGACUUACACGGAGCUCCAGCACGGGGCAGUAGUGUGUCUUCAGGCGGCAUGGAGGGGCUACAGAGUGAGACGACUCUAUAUGCUGCAGAAGAGAGCCGUGGCGGUCAUACAGAAACGCUGGAGGAGAUACCUGCAGAUGCGCGAGAAAGCAGCAGGACACAUACAGUCAGCCUGGAGGACGCAUUGUCAGAGACAGAGAUAUUUGCGGCAGUGCAGGGCGGCCGUCACGCUACAGGCGGCCUGCAGGGGGCACAAGGCUCGACAGAGGUGCCGCUUCCUGAGAGAGCUGCGACUUAAAGAGAAAACCCUCGAAAACAAGGUGGAUCCAAACACUGUGACACAAAGUUUAAGUGUUCCUCAAAACACAACCGAAGUCAAGACCACUCACCUGGACACACAAGUACCUGAACCGGCCGUAGAGCCGCCACAGGCUGAGGAGGAGUUCAAGGAGAUACGAGAAAAGCAAUCUGCCGAACCUCCAAGAACCGUGGACGACAGCACGCUGAAGAGCCGCAACAAACGAGAGAGCCGGAGGAAACGAGAACUCGAACAGGCCACGUUCAGUUUAGAACUGCUUAAAGUCCGGUCUGGUUCGGUGCCCAGCUCGGACCAGACUGAAGUAACGGACAACACACUCCCCUCUCAAAACCCUCUUACCAAACGACUCACUUCCUCGCCUCAGGUGUCUCCAGAUAGCCAAGAAAGCUUUGAGCACUUUGGCUUUCACAACGACGAGGUCACGACAACUGAACUUCCUCCUCAGCAAGAGACGCCUGCUGUUGUCAAAUCCGAGCCAAUGGAGGUGAACCAAAGUAUGGAGUCAUCCAAUCCAGUUCAGCAAAGCCCAACAUCAUCCAAGCCUUGCUUCUACAUCCUAGACAAAGAAAGCAGUCCGGCCAAAACUUCUCCACGGAGGCCAAACGGCACCAAGAGGGAGAAGAAGGAAUCAGUGCUGGUCAUCAUCAGUAUGCAGAAAGAGAACCCCGUAGACCAGACAAGCCUGGAAGCUUUUCAAAGACUGGAAAUGGAAGCUGAGGAGAUGCCAACUGCUGCCCACCAAGAAACAGUCUCAGACGAAAGAUGUAAUGGUGUGUCCUCUCUAGAUCAUCCAAACGUACAACCUGACCUGAACCCAGAACCUCAAACCAAUCAUGGCCUCGUCAUUUCUUCGACCACAUCCAAACCCCUCCAGCUGGACCGGAGGGGGGCAGUGUCUGGACAGGAAGUGACAUCAGAGCCUAGAACAGAAGUUCAAGCUCAGAAGUUGGUGACUCAGAGCAUCAGUGUCAGUAUGAAGGAGAAAACCACUAAUCUGUCCUUCUCUCCCAAACGUAGCCGACUCACCUUCUCCAAGUCAGAUAAAGAUCUUGUGAAUCAGGAACGCUCUUUGGCUCUUCAAAGAGAAGCAGGAUUCAGAUCGUUGAAGAACAGAGAGGUGACCAGAGCGGGUUAUAAAAAGAAAGCUCGUAUGGCUGGGACACGCUCUGAUUUCCUGACCCGUGCCUGUAGCACUGAGGUCGACUCAGACGAUGAAGAUGAUGAUGAAUUCGAGUACACGCCUGUGUUCUCUCGCACACUGGCUUUCCAAGAAUCCCAUGACUUCCCCUACCCGGCCUGCCACAGUGACUCCGAGAUGUCUCAGUUGUCUCAGAAGGAACUGAAGAAGGUCCAGAAGACCAUGUCCUCAGGAGAUCUGGGGAAGAUGGAUUCCCUCAGAAAGUCUCUGUCCCAUACAGACAGCAGGGUCAGGGGCAAAAUGCGGUUCUGGAGUAAAAGCAAGCAUGGAGAUAAGAAGAUGUCCACUAGGGGACGCUCCGAUGACUCUGAGGUCACAGACGGCAGGCAUGGCUCUCCUCCAGGCAGCCCUGAACAUGCUGGACUCUCAGAGCGUGGACGAGAUAGUAAAGAGAACCGCGAGCCGAUGAUGGGCAUGAUGUCGGUGAAGAGGAGACGCAGUGUGAAAAUCAGCAGCAUUUCUCUUGAAUCUUCCGCAUGGCAGAACGAUUCGCUCCACAUUCUUACCAGCACGGCAGACUACCGCAGCAUGAACGACUUUCUUAUGAAGAAGAUCAGUGAUCUGGAUGCUGAAGAUGGCCAGAAUGACACACCAGUGGACGUGGUGUUUAAGAAAGCUCUGAAAGAGUUUCGCCUCAAUAUCUUCAACUCUUAUUCUACUGCACUGGCCAUGGACGAUGGCAGAAGUAUUCGUUAUAAAGAUCUCUAUGCUCUUUUCGAGCACAUUCUAGAAAAGAGCAUGCGUCUGGAGCAGAGAGAUUGGAGCGAGUCACCUGUUAAAGUCUGGGUCAACACGUUCAAAGUCUUCCUCGAUGAGUUCAUGACUGAGAACAAGCCCAUCGAUGGAACCAUCAGUAAGGCUCCCAAACCUGAGAGGAAGAAGAGACGGAAAAAGGAAUCAGAUACUGUUGAGGAGCACAUGGGUCACAUCUUUAAAUCCACUCAGUACAGCAUCCCGACAUACUGCGAGUUCUGUUCAUCACUCAUCUGGAUGAUGGACAAAGCAUGUGUCUGCAAACUUUGCCGUUACGCAUGUCACAGGAAGUGCUGUCUGAGGAUGACCACUAAAUGCAGUAAAAAGUUUGACCCCGAGCUGUCUUCACGGCAGUUUGGCGUUGAGUUGUCUCGUUUAACGAGUGAUGAGCGAGCCGUGCCGUUGGUGGUGGAGAAACUGAUUAACUACAUCGAGAUGCAUGGACUCUACACUGAGGGCAUCUACAGGAAGUCUGGAUCCACCAAUAAAAUCAAAGAACUCAAACUGGGACUGGACACAGAUGUGAGCAGCGUGAAUUUAGACGACUACAACAUCCACGUCAUUGCGAGUGUUCUGAAACAGUGGCUGCGUGACCUCCCGAACCCCCUCAUGACCUUUGAACUGUAUGAGGAAUUCCUCAGGGCUAUGGGUCUACAGGAUAACCGUGAGGUGGUCCAGGGUGUUUAUUCAGUUAUUGAUCAGCUCAGCAGAACUCAUCUGUGCACAUUAGAGAGACUCAUAUUUCACCUGGUCAGGAUCUUGUUCCAGGAGGAGACUAACCGCAUGUCUGCGAAUGCGCUAGCAAUCGUGUUUGCACCCUGCAUACUGCGCUGUCCCGACACCACUGACCCGUUACAGAGCGUCCGGGACAUCAGCAAGACCACUGCUUGUGUGGAGCUGAUUAUCUGUGAGCAGAUGAGGAAAUAUAAAGCUCGUCUGAAGGACAUCAACACACUGGAGUUUGCCGAAAGUAAAGCCAAGAGUCGCCUCACACACAUCCGACGCUCGAUGAAACCGGUACUAAUCGCGGUUAGGUUUAUUGGCAUUACAAGAUCUGCCGCGCCGGGUAAGGGGCGUUUACGCAAGAGUGGUCACCACACCCCCUCCCCGCCCAUGAGCCCACAGAUGGCAGAGAGGGAGGAGUCAGGUGAUGAAGGGGCGGAGUCUGGGCUCAGUGAACCUCAGCAAGCAGCUAUGCAACAGGAAGAAAGAGUCCUGACACAGCAGAUAGAAACUCUGCAGAAAGAGAAGGAAGAGCUUACCUAUGAGAUGCUGGCUUUGGAGCCCAGAGCAUCCGAUGAUGAAAUGCUGGAGUCAGAAGCAUCUAUCGGAACAGCAGACAGCUCAGAAAACCUCAUGGAAUCAGAAGAAAAAAGUCCCGGCGCGGUAUUGGCUACACGUUGGCGAAAACCGGAGUCCAAAAGCAGGCGAGGUUUACGGCGACAGCCUGAAUCUCUGGACUCCGUAGACUCGGCCGUGGCGUCACUCUCCUCCGUGGCGUCCAUCCCUCACUAUCGGUUCCGUUCAUCCUCCUCCGGGCCUCUCUUUUUCUCGGGCUCUGCUGGAGGGGACUUGCACAUUCUUCCUGACCGGGAGGACUCGGAACCGGCCAGCCUGACCACCCGAUGUGCCUCCAGCUCAGAGAAAAACCGUCCGCGGCCCAGAGGAAACCGCAGCUGCCCACCAAAGUCCCGCGAGCCAGGCGAAGCCGGCGGCCGCCGAAGAGAGCAUGAAUAUGGUUCCGCUCAGCCAUUAGUGCUAUAUGGAAGUAAUGAAUUUAUGGUCUGACUUUGAUAUGCCUCCUAGUGGCUGAAGCUGGUAGCGUGUGGCACUUUCAAAGCGGAAAGACAACAAGAAUUGUCAGAACUCAGUUUGGAAAAGUGGAACAGAAAGCCUUUAACUGGAUAGAUGUUUCCCUUUCCAGCAAGCAAAAUGGAAGAAAAAAUUUAAUGACUGAGAAAAAAAAAAAAAACGAUAAUGAGAAAUACUGGGUGUUGCAGUGAACGUCCCAAUAUCCAUGACCUACUGACUGUAAAACGGACCAGCUGGACCGGUCCGGUUUUUUGCAACAUAUUCUAAGAAUAGUUUAGAACAGGGAAUGAACGAUUUUUAACACAUAACGUCCAUUUUCAUGUUUACAGAACUGAGCCAAUGAGAGGUCAUGUGACCUUUCUGACUGCAUGCCGUAUUGAUACCGUUUUGUUUUCACUCUCUGAUUAAGAAAACCUUUGAUAAAGUGCUAAAUAUGUAAAAUAUGAUUUUAUUAUUGAUAUGGGUCAAAAGAAUCAUGUAAAUAGCUGAAAUCUCUGUGCUGCUGGUCGACCUGUGAAAAUUUAAUAACGUCUUUUUAUUUGAAAAGCGUGUGAAUCUGGUGUCUCUUGCUGUCUGUAUGUUGUGUCUUUUUUUAUUUUUUAUAUGGGUGAAUCUAAUGAAAACUUAUCUAGGUAUCAAACCGAAACCAAUAGAACAAAAAUAUGAAAUUAUAUUUCGAUAAAGAAAAUGGAGCCUUUAUUUAGGGCCGUCAAGAUUUUUGCUUUGUGGCAUUAUUUUCGUGACAAUUAAGGACAUUUCUACACAAAAUUCUCUUACACUGUUCCAUAGGUCCCAUUAUAAUCAAUGAAGCUGUCUACACUGGAAACAUCCGUUGUGGGGCAUCACGUAACAUAGCAGUAAACAGUAAACAAAUGCCCCGUUCUGUUGCUGACUGCAGAGUUACUCCAGCAACUUGAUCAUCCCGUCCGUCUGAUGUUUCUGGACUCUGGUCUACAAUAUUUUGUGUCUAACCACAUGUAUGCGCAGCUUUAGCAACAAUAACAUUACAAUAAUAAUUAUACCAGUAAAUUUCCAUUGAAAAAUUAAGGUUAUUUUCUGUUUAACCCUUGCUGAAGUCUGCUCGAGCUCACAGCUGAUUGGUCCGUGCUUUCUACACGUUAUUUACAGUAGAUGUGUCCAAACGUUGUACUUUGAAAGUUUUUUUGUUGUUGUUGUUUUUUGGUCAUGUUCAUUCUCAACUGUAUGGUAUAGAGUCCCUUAGAGGACAAGGCAGGAAUUUUUAUUUCUGAAAUAGUUUUGCGUUCCCUCGUAAAAGUUUAGCGUUCCCUCGCAACAGUUUAGCGUUCCCUCAUAACAGUUUAGCGUUCCCUCAUAACAGUCUAGCGUUCCCUCAAAACAGUCUUGCGUUCCCUCCCAACCGUUUUGCGUUCCCUCCCAACCGUUUUGCGUUCCCUCCCAACCGUUUAGCGUUCUCUCCCAACCGUUUUGCAUUCCCUCCCAACCGUUUAGCAUUCCCUCCCAACCAUUUUGCGUUCCCUCCCAACACUUUUGCGUUCCCUCGUAACAGUUUAGCGUUCCCUCGCAACAGUUUUGCGUUCCCUCGCGACAGUUUUGCGUUCCCUCGCGACAGUUUUGCAUUCCCUCGUCAAAGGUUUGCGUUCCCUCAUGACAGUUUAGCGUUCUCUCGUAAAAGUUUUGCGUUCCUUCGCAACAGUUUUGCGUUCCCUCGUAAAGGUUUUGUGUUCCUUUACAACAGUUUUGGAUUCCCUCACAACAGUUUUGCAUUCCCUCGUGACAGUUUAGCGUUCUCUCGUAGAAGUUUUGCGUUCCUUCGCAACAGUUUUGCGUUCCCUCGUAAAGGUUUAGCAUUCCUUCACAACAGUUCAGCAUUCCCUCGCAACAGUUUUGUUAACACAUGUUUAGAUUAAUAAAUACUGUAAAUAUAUUUUGUUCAUUGUUAGUUAAAGAUACCUAAUGCAUUUACUAAUGUUAACAAAUGUAACUUUAUAAUAAAGUGCUAACAAUAUUGUAGACUGUAGUUAUCAUAGUUUUUUGUGGAAAAUAUGUUUUUCCAUAGUAAUUUUGUAGUAACCAUGAUUUUUUUGGCUAACCGUUUUUUUUGUUUUGUUUUUUUUUAAUUGUUUUUUGGUGGAAACCAUGGUUUUACUAUAGAUUAACCAUGGUUAAUUUUGUGGUUACUAUAGUUUUAAAUCAAAAUAACCACAAAAUUAUAAUUUAUAUUUCCAUAGUUUUUGUUUUCCUGUAUUAGUACUAUGGUUUUACGACGAAUAUCAAGGUUAAAAUAUGGUUAUUUUAGUAAAACAAUGGUACAUUUAUUGCAAGGGAACGCAAAACUUGUAGAAUUGUGAUUCUCAUGACUGUAGUUUUUUAUUACAGUAAAGAAAAAUAGUAAAAUAGUAAAAUACAAUGGUACUAAAAGGGCAGUGAACAAAAUACUAUCAUGAUGCAUAAAUACGUCACAAUUUAAAUAUAGUAAUUUUUGCAUUAAAAUUAACUAGCUUAUUUGCAAUGAAAAUAAUGUCACUAUUUCAAAAUAUCUUAAUGGUCCUCUAAAAUAGACUUUUGGGUGAAAUAUGACCUGGACUUGUUCUAGACUGGUUUUGUGAGAUUCAUCCAUAUGUUUUUGAUUUGUUUUUUGUUUGUUUGUUUGUUUUUUUGGUUCCAGAAACACUUUUUCUUUUCAGAUGAAAAGCAAAAGGGACGAAUAGUCUGACAGAUGCAUAACCUCAAACGUGUUAUUACACAACUCUCUGCUGUAGUUUCACGUACUAUUUUUAUCCGGCCUCAUCUUUUCCCCCAUCAGUGUUACAUGCAAGUAAAUCAGGACUAUAUUUAUGAUGUCAUGAUCAUUUGUUUUGUUUUUUGUAAAUUGCUUUUUUUUAAAGUAUAUUGUGUUUUAUACAUGCUGAUAUUUUAUUGUGAUUUCAAGUAUAAAUAUAUUUUAAAGUGUAUUAUUUUACUGUGCCAUUUGGAGUCACAAAUGAAAAUAAUAAUAAUAAUAAUAAUAAUAAUUAAAAGGAAAUUAUCUAUCUCAAACCUUUAUAUACAGGGUUCCCUGCCUCUGAUUUUUACCAUUUAAAAGCAUCCAGCUUUGGAUUGGACAACAAUGCACAUUUAGGCUAUAGCAGUAAAUAGUAAAGGCCAAUUCAUAGAAAACAAUGAUAUAUAACAUAAGAAAAACUCUAGAUAUUAAAUAUGAAUGCUAUUUAUGUCCAGGGAAUGUGUCUCCAGAAGCUGUUUACUCUUUCUGAUGUACUGUUACAGACAUCUAUGUCAUGUUGUUUAUCAGUCAUAGCUUAUUGAAAGAAACCAUCACCAUGGUGCAAUAUAACAAGAGACAUUAUGCUAUGUUUACUAUAUCUGGGUACUAUAACCAUAAGUCCGCUACCGCUCAAAAACAGGAAGUAAGAAGGAAACGGUUGUUUGUUGCGUCCUGCAUACAUGAAUGUAAUCACUGUAGCAUGUCAUGCUAUUGUUAAAGUUUCUCUUUUACAGCCAUUGUAUUUAAGGUCACGUUUAAGGCCAGAAACAUACUCUACACAAGUACGCAAGUGUAAAUGUUUGGCUUGCACGCAGUCCAAUUGCGUUCUUGCAUUGCUGUGGCUGUAACACACUUUUAAUACUCAAGGGGGCGAUAGAGUUAGGUUCAAAUGCCAUUAAACUCAAUGUGUUGUUUAGAUAGCUAACCACAAACUUGUCGACAGUUUAUCAAACUUUAACUAGCUCAAAAAAAAGACGUUUAUUUUCUUUAGAAAAAGCGAAAGUCGUGGUUUCGGUGAGGCACUUACAAUGGAAGUGAAUGGGGCCAAUCCGUAAACGUAAAAGUAUAUACCAUUUAAACAACUUUACAGCUCAAAUAAUACUCGAGUUUUAACAGACGUAUUAAUGUAAGAGCUUUUAUCAAAUUUAAAGCUUCACAUUCACAAAAAUUGGCCCCAUUGACUUCCAUUGUAAGUGUCUCACUGUAACCUCCAUUUUUGCUUUUUUUAAAGAAAAGGAGGAACGAGUCUAAAUUAAAUUUUGUUGUAAUCAACAUUAUGGCACAAAUGCUGUCGACUGAGCUUAACUUGUAUUGUAUAUUCCUUAAAAAUGCAAGGAUGCAUGAAACUGAGCUUACGUAGCUAGACGCGCUUGCGUUCAUGUACUUGCAUACAGUAUGUUUCGUGUCUAAGAGUGUAUGUUUAAAAAAAAAAAAAGGAAAUAUUAUUUUUUAAAGAGAUGUAUUAUCUUACGUAUGACAUUUGUUUUAAGUUGAAUGAUCCUGCUCUGUGUUUCUUGAAAACAAAUUUGUGCUUUCGGAUUUUCUGUGUGUUUGCGCUCUCGUGAGGACAGUUGUAAACGGUGCAAUUUGUGUAUUUUAUUUUGAUUUUUUAUUGUGUAAAUCAAUGUGUAAGGAUGUAAAAAUAAGUAUAGCCAUUGUCUUAUUCAAAUAUAUAUAUAUAUAUAUAUAUAAAAAUCAAAAUAAACCUGACCCAUGUUUUUGUUUCUCGGUCCAAGAAGAGACUUCGGCUAAUCACAAUCACAUUCGGCGAAAACUUGAAGUGUGCGUAACAUGCAAACAACCUUCAAAAUUUAGUGUGCGAGCUGAUGUUUAUUUUUGUGGUGUUUCUGUAAUUAUAGCCUGCAAUUAUUUAGUUAUAAGUAAUUACACAAUUUAAUUACAAUUGUUGAAAUGUCUAAUUGUCCAAAGUUUAAAUGUUAUUCACUGAAAAUCUUGCCCUAGCUCUCUUUCAUGAGAGAAACGGUGAUAUACAAUUUAAUUAAUUAAUUAUUCUUUUGAGUCGGAUGUUUUCAGUGAAUCGGUUGAUCCAAUCUGAGUGAUUCGUUCACGAAUUUAACUAACUGCAGUUCAACUCGCUGACUCGAUCCAGUCGAUGCUAUUAACAGCUUACAGGAGGCGGAUUUAAAUUAUCAGUAAAAAAUGACUCAAAUCUGGGUUUGUUCCUCAAACAUCAUACGACUUGCAAUAUAGCACAGGAGUCGUAUGGACCACUUUUAUACUUUUAAGGUUUUUGCAUCAGUGGCGUAGCCAAGGGUGGGCCGGGGUGGGCCUGGGCCCACCCAAAUCAGACCCUGACCCACCCAAAAUAUUAGAGGAUUUUCUUUGACUUCAAAUAUAUAUAUUUAUAAAACAGUGUU